This 22-nucleotide microRNA is filed under the name Mus musculus (house mouse). RNAcentral also lists the same sequence under 1 other name. The record is from RNAcentral. Lineage: Eukaryota; Metazoa; Chordata; Mammalia; Rodentia; Muridae.
AACACACCCAGCUAACCUUUUU